UACGAAGGGUGCAAGCGUUACUCGGAAUUACUGGGCGUAAAGCGUGCGUAGGUGGUUCGUUAAGUCUGUCGUGAAAGCCCCGGGCUCAACCUGGGAAUGGCGAUGGAUACUGGCGGGCUAGAGUGCGGUAGAGGAGAGUGGAAUUCCCGAUGUAGCAGUGAAAUGCGUAGAGAUCGGGAGGAACAUCAGUUGCGAAGGCGGCUCUCUGGACCAGCACUGACACUGAGGCACGAAAGCGUGGGGAGCAAACAGG
Molecule: ribosomal RNA, 253 nt
Filed under: uncultured bacterium
Lineage: Bacteria
Description: partial 16S ribosomal RNA
Rfam family: Bacterial small subunit ribosomal RNA
Source: RNAcentral